GCUGGGCUAUUAUUAAGGGAAUAAAGUAUUAAAGUUCAAAACAAAACCACAACAGUGCUGGGCUGAUCUAAAAAUAAAACAUGGGAUACUUAAAGGGUUUGAGAAGCCCGCAAAAACAAAAAUAGAAAAUGAAGCCUAAAUGAAUGCAGAAAUAGAAUCGUCAUUUCCCAGUCAAAUCAAACAGUCUGGCCUCCAUUAUUUUCCAACUUUUCAUUUCAUAAACGCUAGGCUUUUCAGAUGAUAGCAAUUUCAAAGAAAUCUUAUGCUUUAGCUAUCUUUUUCCGUUUCAUUUCCUCUUCAUCAACUUCCUUCAAUCAGAAUUUUGUGGCCAUCUCCCUCUUAGAUCCGGUGUUCUUCUCUCGUCUCUCCCACCAGGUAUCUUUCUUCCCCUUUUCUUAAUGCCUCUUUCGUUAGGUAUGUGCUUCAACGUUCUCUGUUCUUUGGAUGAAUCGAAAAACAUUUUUUUUGGAAUCGGGUUUUGUUGCUCUGAAUAUCAUCAAUAAUUGCUCCUAGAAUCGAUUUAUCUCUAGCUUUUGUUUUGCAUUUGUUGAUUAUUGUUUUCGAAUCCCCCAUCAUCGUGACUGAGUUUAAGCCCAUGCUUAUGCCUAAUUUGGUUGCCUCUAAACAUGCUAAUGCUUCUGCUACAAAUGGAGAGGAAACGUUGGAGUGAAGAGUAGACUUUGAGACUGUGAUUUCCCCAUUCUGACCUCGGGCUACCAUUCCUGACGCUGAUCUAGAGUUGUUGAUAUCAAAAGCUGCAUCAAACUGUAUAGACUCCCGUAGCUCCACCUCUCUUUGUUCGGAUCUAACGGCCGUAGAGGUAAGUUUUCUUUCUCGCACUCCUUCAAGCUCUAUUAGAUAACUCUGUAUUUUAAAAGCUAGAUCCCUUCCUGAUGUAUACUUCCUCUUGUGGAUCAUUUGAUUUCUCGAGCUCCAGAUAACCCAUAAGGCACAAAAAAAUACUCAGAUCUACUCCUUUGUACCUCUGCUGAAUACCCAGGUGAGCCAUGCCCAUACACUCUGAUCUGCAUGUUCUGUUACCCAUGACAUAUUGAGACUGAUCUAUGCAUCCGUGCUUAUAGGACAUUGCCUAAACACAUGGAAGCUAUCUUCUUCUGCAGAACAGUAUCGUGGACACCUUACAUUAGUGGUCACUCUCUUAUAUCUGAUAUUAACUAGUGAAGGGAUGUAGUUCCAGGAAAUUCGCCAUAUGAGAAUUAGGAUUUUUGUUAGUAAUUGUAAAUUCCAUAAUUUUCUGUAGAAAUCUUUAGUUUCGACCUGUAUUAAAUAGUUAUAAUGAUCCAAGCUAGCUUCUUAUAAUAGUUUGUAGGCACUUCUAACUGUAAAUUCUCCGGAGAGUUCCCCUUUCCACACUUUCAUGUCUUCACAAUCCGUUUUCGCAAGAGGAAUUUGCAGUAUUUUUUGAGAAAUUUCCUUUUGAAAGGUAGUCGAAAUUAACUUUCUUCCACUUCUUGUUUAUGUUAUCAAUAAGAUCAGAAACCACAGCUAACUAACCAUUGUCUCUUUUAUUUUGCCACAUCUCAAGUUCCAUCCCUAGUAUCCAACGAUCAUCCCAUAUAGAUAUUGCGUCUCCUCUCUCGACUCUCCAGAUGAGACCAUCAAGAAGGAGUCCUUUCACUGCCCAAAUACUUCUCUAGGUAAGAGAUGGUAAGUUUCCCAACUGUGAAUUUAGGAAACUGGAUCUUGGGUAAUAUUUAGCUUUAAGUACUCUGGCUAAAAGUGAAUUUGGGUUAUUAAACAAUCGCCAACCCUGCUUGGCUAACAAUGCGAUAUUAAACUUAUUAAAAUUACGAAAACCCAACCCGUCGUUUUCCUUUAAAUAGCAAAGGUUUUUCCAAGAGCACCAAUAGAUUCCCUUUUUUCCUUGAUUCUUUUGCCACCAAUAUCUCGCAACAAUACUCUCCAUUUCUUCACAUAGUGACUUCGGAAGUAGAAAACAAACCAUUGAGUAUGUCGGUAUGGCUUGUAGCACUGCCUUUAUGAAUAUCUCUUUUCCACCUUGCGAUAAAAAACGAGUACUCCAAUUUUCUAUCUGUUGUUCCAAUCUGUCUUUUAAGGCUUGAAAAGAUUGCUUCUUUUUUCGACCUACCAUGUUUGGCAAGCCCAAGUAUCUUUCUGGCUCAUUUGAACUUCGAACUCCCAAUAAAUUGACGAUUAGAUGUCUUUCCUCUUCAAUUAUAUUUUUGCUAAAGAAGACGGUCGAUUUGGAAAAAUUCACACAUUGACCCGAACAUCUUUUAUACCCGCUAAGAAUUUCCUUGAGUACAAAGGCUCCUUUCCUCGAUGCUUCUCCAAAUAAAAUGCAAUCAUCCGUAAAUAGUAAAUGUGUUACCUGUGGACCACUUCUGGUUGCCUUGACUCCCUUUAGAAGACCUUCUCUAGCGUUUAUUCUCAUUAGACUAGAUAGUCCUUCUCCACAUAUUAAGAAGAGAAACGGGCUCAAAGGAUCGCCUUGUCGAAGCCCUCUUGUUGGACGGAAAGUUCUUCCAACACUUACAUUGAGCACUACUUGAUAAGAAACUGUAGACAUGAAAUUCAUGAUAGAGGUGACCCAUUUUUGAUCAAAUCCCAUCCGCAGCAUUGUUUCCUUAAUAAAUCUCCAUUCAACUCUGUCAUAAGCUUUGCUUAUGUCAAGCUUAACCGCCAUGUAUCCCUUUUUCCCCAUUCUUUUUUGUUUAAGUGUGUGCAAUAACUCAUAAGCGAGCAAAAUAUUAUCUGAGAUUAAUUUACCUGGUACGAAGGCACUUUGCGCACUGUCAAUGCAUUUGUCUAUGACACCUCUAAAUCUGUUUGCUAUUGCUUUAGUCAUGAUUUUAUAAAUAACAUUGCAUAAGCUAAUAGGCCUAAAAUGGGUCAUAUUAGAGGGGUUUUUGAUUUUUGGGAUAAGAACAAUAUAAGUUGAGUUAAUUUGACUGACCUCCAUUUCUCCAUUGAUGAGGUGUAGGCAAAAAGCAGCCACCUCAUCUCCUAUAAAGUGCUAACAUUUCUGGUAAAAAAGAGCAGGGAAUCCAUCUUUGCGAGGUGCCUUCGUGGGAUGCAUUUCAAAUAAGGCCUCUCUCACUUCUUCUUUUGUAUAAUUCGCUAUAAGUUUCCUGUUAUCGUCCUCUGAGAUACACCGAUCAAUUCCCGAGAGUAGACGUUCAUAAUUCAUUUGAUUUUCUAAAGAGAACAGAUUUUGAAAAUAGAAUUGUACAAUACCUUUCAUCUCCUGAAUAUCAUUCGUUUCCUGCCCGCUGCUGUUUUGUAGCUUGCUUAUCAAAUUCUUCUUUCUUCUUUGUGUUACUUGACUGUGAAAAAAGGCUGUAUUCCUGUUUCCAAGUUUUAGCCAAUUUAGUCUAGCUCGGUGUUCCCAAUAAGUUUAAUCUUUUUCAAUUUCGAAGUUAAGCUGGAUCUUUGUGUCAAUCAUCUCAGCUAGAUUAGAAUUAUCCCUUUCAGCUUCAAUCAAUGUUGAUAGUUUGGCUGUGAGAAAUUCUUUUCUCCCCUGUUUAUUUCUUUGCACCUGUUUCGCCCAGUUUACAAACCCUUUCUUAAAAGUUUCCAUUUUCUUCAGAAAUUCUCCAGACACCAUCCCCCAUAAAUGUUUAGCUUCAUCGAAAAAUGAGUCUUCCACGAUCCAUGAGGCUUCAAAUUUGAAUUGAUUUGCUUUUUCCCAUUGGUCUUCCUUAUUUGUGUUGACGAAAAUAGGACAAUAAUCAAAAAAAGAGUGUACAAGUGUUCAACUCAUACCGCAGGAAACAUGGAAAUCCAAUUCUUAUUAGCGACACCCCUAUCCAGACGCUCUUGAAUGUUCGUUUCUGGUAAGUUUCCUCUCUCCUAAGUGAACCAUCUACCAGAGUAUCCCACAUUGGAUAGUUGGCAAAAAUCUAAAGCUUCUCGGAACAACUCCAUUCUUCUUUCAUCUCUUGGCAAGCCUCUCUUUUUUUUUUCGAAUUCAUACAUUAUUUCAUUAAAAUCUCCACAGACAAGCCAAGGGGUGUAUUCCUUUUUAUGGAGAUUUUUCAAAACAGUCCAUAAAGCUUCUCUAUCUUGCGCAUAUGGAGUUCUAUAAAAGCCAGUAAAGCGCCAUUUGACAUCUCUUUCAUCAUCAUCCACCACCAUGUCAAUGUGUCUUUUAGAGAAAUUCUAAAGCGUAACAUUGAUAUUAUUUUGCCAUGCUAGACACAAACCUUCUCUAGAGCCCUUCGAAUCAACAUCAAUUCCAUUCCCAAAUCCACAUCUUCGUCUAAUUCUUUCCAUUCGGUUUCUGCAAAGCUUAGUAUCCAUAAAGAAGACAAUUUGGGGAUUAUAAGUCCUCAGCGUAUGCUGAAGCCUUCGAACUAUCCGUAGACUCCCCAAUCCACGGACAUUCUAACUCAGUAUUUUUAUUGCUUCCGGUCGGCUUGCCAUUUGGUAGCCGCCGAUGAUAAAUGAUUAGGAUCCACCAUUCUCCAAUUUGCCAAUAUGUUUCUCAUUUCUUCUCUCCCUGUUAUAUCUUCAUUUUCCCCUCUAGGCCUUUUCGUCCCCUUUUUCCCUACUAGAGCUACAUCUUCUAGAUCCCUGAUCCAUUACAUUAGGGGUUAAAUUCUCCUUUCCUCGUACCGCGUAUAAUGAACCUCCCUCCAAAUUAAAGCCAAGAACUGGAUCAACAGAUUUCCCAUAUUUUAUUUUUCACCCCGGGUGCUUCUGGCCCAUUUUGAGACCUCCAAAUUCUGCAUCAGUUCCUCUGUUAUCGCCAUCUCCUUCCUCCCUUAGCUAGAUAUUGUUUAUUGAUAAUGACUUCCGUGAUUGUGCUCGGAUAGAUAAGUCCUAGCCCAUUUCUGCAAUUUCCAUUCCAAGGUUCAUUUUUGCCUCGCAAAAAAAGUCAUUAUGCUCCAGUCUUCCACAAUAGAAACAGAACAAAGAUAAACGUUCAUAUUUAAAGGUGACAUAUGAACAUUUUCCACCAAAUGAUAUUUUCUUCCUCCUUUUCAAAGGACGCCUUAUGUCGAUUUGAACUCUAAUUCUCAUAAAGUUCUUGUUUUCUUUUCCCAAAUAUGAUACAUCAUGUUCUAUGAAAUUCCCCAAGAAAUUACCUAACUGGGCAGCCAGGAUUUCAGAAAAAAGGCCAAUAGGGACAUCAUGAACCUAAACCCAAAAAGGUAUCAGAACUAGAGGGAGUUGUAGUGGAUCCUCCCCUAAUUCCAAUUUGUAAAGCACCAGCAGAUGGUUAUUAAUGGUCCAAGGCGAACAUUUCAAAACCCUGUUCAUAUCCAUGACAUGAAAGAACUGAAACAAAUACCUUUUUUCUCCCAGAUCACAGAUUCGUACUCCCUUAACCGGAUGCUACAGAUUCGCCAUUGUACUUUUCAUUGCUGGGAAGUGGAUCGUGCUUGCUGUGAGAAAACAUCCUACUAGUUGAGUGGUCUCACCCCUAUUUUCCGUGCUUGGAUCUGUUGGGAUGUGAAUAAUUUCCUCAUCUUCAUCAUUAAUCGACAAUUGGGCUAACUCAUUCUCCAUACUUUGCAGGUAAAAGUUUUUUCAGCUUUUGUGGUUUCACAAUUCCUGUUGCAAGAGAAGGACUUACACAGGCCACAGAUAACAAAGGGGAAAGUAUUAAGGAAAAAACAAAUAAUGAAAAAACUUAAAAACUCUUGCUAGUGGCAGCAGACAAAGGUGUGCUAGGGUAGCAGACUUUUUUUACUUGUGAAUUUGAUAAUGUUUUAUAUUUCAUAUAAUGUUUUUAUAAUUUUUUUAACUUAUAUAACUAAUAUAUAAUAUGUUUUGAAAAUUUUAAAUUUAAUAAUUUUUAUAAUUUUUUAUUUAUUGAAUUUAUAUUUUUUAAAAUGGAUGCCACAUUAUUAAUCGUCAUGUAUAAAGGAAUACCACAUAAUGCAUUCUCAUUGGUUGGGUGUGUCACCUAUCAUUUUUAACACCAUUAACCUCUUUGAACUAAGAUUGUGUUUAGCAAUGCUUAAAAAAAACACUUUUGGCUUAAAAAGUACUUUUGGAAGAAAAUUUAUGUUAAACAAGUAACUUUUGGCCCAAAGGAGUGGCUUUUCAAAAACAUUUUUACUCAAAAGCUAAAUUUUUUAGCUUUUCUUGAGCCAAAAGCACUUCUUGAAACAUUAUUACUUUUUCAUCUCUCUAUUUUUCUUCCCUUAUUUUUCAUUCACUUUAAAUUACAAAUGCUAAUGUAAAUGUUUUAAUGUUUAUAUUUGGUAUAUAAAUAUUAUCCAUUUUUGAAACUUUAAUCUAAAUAUAUGUAAUAUUUUAAUUUGUUAGGUUUUUGUUUUCUAUGUUAUGUUAAUAUUUAAUAUGGGUUAUAUAUUCAAAUUACAUUUUAAAAUAAAAUCAUUAAUUAAAAAAAGUAUUUCUCGAAAUAAUACAAAUGUGUUAAUAUCUUUUUCUUUUUCUUUUUAUUGAAAGAUUAGGCUUUAUUGAUAAAAGAAAUAAAAAAAACAAUGGAAAAGAACUGGCCCAAUCUCAUCGAGCCCAAAACUAAAGAAGCAACAAAAAUCCAAAAACAAACAAAAAGAAACAAACUAGCCUAGCCAAAUAGGAAAAGACCAUCACAAUCCCCUUAAAUGUCGUUUCAAUAACUGAUGAUUUCCUAACCCCCAUUUUGCAGAUAUUUAGAAGUUACAAAAGAAGUUUUCAUCCUUUCUCCUUUCUCCAAGGUUGGAAAAAUUUGCUUCCGAUCCUCCUCAGUCCGACUCUCGCACCCAUUCAACUUCCAUUGUUCUCUUCGCAUAACUCGGGACAACAUCUUCCAAGUAAAAGCUCUCACCAGAUCUCAAACUCUCAUUUGCUAAAAGAUGGGCUAACUAAUUUUCAAAAUGAUUUGCAUGUUUAAGCCUAAUAAAAGUAAAACUGUUUAGCUUCUGUUUGAUGUUUCGGAUGUAGGUGUUUAUUUCAGAUCUAUCAUGUAUAUCGUUGUUGCAUUUCUUGAUGAUUGUAAAUGAGUCUCCCUUUAUAACUGCUUCUGUUAACCCUAUUUCUAAACUCGUUUGUAUUGCCCAUGAACACGCGAGCGCCUCGGUUGCAAAAAUUGUUCCAACAUCGACAUGUAGGAUCGAUCGAGAUACUAAAACUUUGCCUAGAGCAUUCUUAACUACAAUUCCCGAUCUUGAUCUAGAAUGAACCUAAUCAAAGGCCGUGUCAAAAUUUAUUUUAAUUCUCGCUCUUACAGGCGAUUCCCAUUUUCUUUCCUCACCUUUCCUCAUUGAUCUCCAAUUUUCUUAUGUAGGAAGAAAUAGAAUUGGCAAUCUCCCUACUUGUUUCACUGACUUUUUCGUGCACUUCUUGUUUCUCUCUGUCCACAGGCUUCAUAGUGCAACACAAAAUUCCUAGACAUUUUGGUAACCGAACAUUCUUUAACGACCCAGGUAAGCCAAUCAAAAAAUUCCUAGACAAAAUUUGACACCAUUACAUGAAACCCCAAUAACAUCCAGACUUCAAAUGUAACAGGGCAACCACGAAAGAUGUGGUCUAAAUUUUCAGUAGCAUUAUAACAUCUCGGGCAUAUCAUAUUUGACACGAUUCGUUUAUAGUGCAAAUUUCUAAAAGUAAGAAUAUAAUCUUUCAAGAUUCACCAUAUUGUAAUUUUAAUUUUAGUUGGAAGCUUUAAGCUCUAUAGUUUCCUAUAGAAAUCUCUAGCAUUGGUCUUAUCUCAUUUAAAUUAGGGGUAGAAAUACCAGUUUGUAAUAGUUUAUAGGCUCUUCGCACAGAAAAGUCCCCCGAAGGUUCACCUCUCCACAUCAUCACAUCUGCAUAAGGAGUACAAGCCAAAGGGAUUCUCAGUAUUCUACCUAUGUCAACACUCGAAAAG
This 7807-nucleotide long non-coding RNA is filed under the name Gossypium barbadense (sea-island cotton). RNAcentral describes it as "long non-coding RNA (GBAR_LNC015411)". The record is from RNAcentral. Lineage: Eukaryota; Viridiplantae; Streptophyta; Magnoliopsida; Malvales; Malvaceae.